Molecule: long non-coding RNA, 280 nt
Organism: Trachymyrmex cornetzi
Lineage: Eukaryota; Metazoa; Arthropoda; Insecta; Hymenoptera; Formicidae
Exons: 3
Source: RefSeq, a predicted model, not a curated record
GACGACGUCACGCGGAGGAUGAAGACGAGGUUGUUCCUGUGCGAAGAGCGCGAAUCGAACCGCCGAAUAAUGCGCCGCCUCCACGCAAUGGACAAAGCAUCGCUCUCAUCGAAAUAGAUAAUAAUGAUGUUGAUGACGAGGAUAAUGGAGAUUCGCAGUGAUCAAGGAACUCGUCAAUUGCCAUUAUUUCAAUGUCGCGUAAGUUCAAAAAAUCGGUUAACGAAACAUAGAGUUAGUUCUGCAAAAAAAAAAGAAAAAUAACAGUAAAAAUUACUUUUUA